CCCUCUGUCUAUGUACAAAAUUACUUUCUCUAAAGGAAGCUGAACCCUCAGGCAGAUUUGUUAGAUAAAUAAACUUGACAUGGGUUAGAUCAACUACACUCCUCAAGAAGUAAAAUAAACAUCUCACACAUUCAGUAUGCUACAUGUAUAUUAUGUUCAGCUAUUCGCUUUUUUUUCAUGGUUUUGGUGGGAAGAGGGCAGUAACAAUGUUCAAAUAUUUAGUUAUGUCAUGGUUGUGUGGUGGGAUCAGGGCAGUAUUUUACUCUUUUGUCAUGGAUGUUUGGUGGGAUCAGGGUAGUAUUUUACUCUUUUGACAUGGUUGUUUGGUGGGAUCAGGGCAGUAUUUUACUCUUUUGACAUGGUUGUUUGGUAACAUCAGGGCAGUAUUAAACUCUUUUGUCAUGGUUGUUGGUGGGAUCAGGCCAGUAUUUUAUUCUUUUGUGAUGAUUGUUUGGUGGGAUCAGGUACCUCUCAAUGAAGUAGAUCAUCUAUUUGUUUCCAUCCUUUUCACUCUGAUUGUACAAUAGAAUUUCCUCACAACUUUUGAUGACAAUUCAGCAUAACUCUGAUCUAUCUUUAAAGCAUAAGGAACUAUAUUUAUUCUACAAACUGGAUCCUUCCUUUCCCAUUAGUUGAAAACUGUCUACAUUGGAAUCUGCAUGUACAUGUAUCUUACAUUAGAUUAACAAAUACAGAAAUUAACUUUG
This 707-nucleotide long non-coding RNA is filed under the name Mytilus galloprovincialis (Mediterranean mussel). Lineage: Eukaryota; Metazoa; Mollusca; Bivalvia; Mytilida; Mytilidae. The record is from RNAcentral.